AUACGGAGGGUGCAAGCGUUACUCGGAAUCACUGGGCGUAAAGCGCGCGCAGGCGGGCUGAUAAGUUGGAUGUGAAAGCCUACGGCUCAACCGUAGAACUGCAUCCAAAACUGUCAGUCUAGAGUGUGGGAGAGGAAGAUGGAAUUAGUUGUGUAGGGGUAAAAUCCGUAGAGAUAACUAGGAAUACCAAAAGCGAAGGCAAUCUUCUGGAACACUACUGACGCUGAGGCGCGAAGGCGGGGGGAGCAAACAGGAUUAGAAACCCUAGUAGUCC
Molecule: ribosomal RNA, 274 nt
Filed under: uncultured bacterium
Lineage: Bacteria
Description: partial 16S ribosomal RNA
Rfam family: Bacterial small subunit ribosomal RNA
Source: RNAcentral